CCUACGGGGGGCAGCAGUAGGGAAUAUUGCUCAAUGGGGGAAACCCUGAAGCAGCCACGCCGCGUGAAGGAUGAAGGUUUUAGGAUUGUAAACUCCUUUUGUUAGAGAAGAUUAUGAAGGUAUCUGACGAAUAAGCACCGGCUAACUCCGGGCCAGCAGCCGCGGUAAUACGGAGGGUGCAAGCGUUACUCGGAAUCACUGGGCGUAAAGAGUUCGUAGGCGGGGUAAUAAGUCAGAUGUGAAAUCCUGUAGCUUAACUACAGACCUGCAUGUGAAACUGGUACUCUGGAGUGUGGGAGAGGUAGGUGGAAUUCUUGGUGUAGGGGUAAAAUGCGUAGAGAUCAAGAGGAAUACUCAUUGCGAAGGCGACCUGCUGGAACAUUACUGACGCUGAGGCACGAAAGCGUGGGGAGCAAACAGGAUUAGAUACCCUAGUAGUC
RNAcentral lists this ribosomal RNA (440 nucleotides) under uncultured bacterium. Its description in RNAcentral is "partial 16S ribosomal RNA". It matches the Rfam family "Bacterial small subunit ribosomal RNA", at positions 338 to 795 of the family's 1533-position model. The record is from RNAcentral.